GGAAAAAUGGGAAGAGUGAGUGAAGAGUGAAGGGAGAUCACCGGAGCAGUCACCAAUUUAAUUACAAAGCAGAGUUACCUUCAGAUUUGUCCGGUAAGUGGACCGCGGGCGAUUCACUAUGAAUUCGCCCCGGUUAUCCGAGGGCGGUUCCGUGAGAAUCCGCCCCGGAAUCCGCGGGCGAUUCCCAGAGAAUUCGCCCCGGUAGCCGUGGGCGAUUCAUAGAAUUCGCCCCGGCAGCUGGAAAAAGAUUAAGGAAUCUUGAGGGCGGUUAUCAGGAGGGAAUCCGCCCCAAGAGGGGCCACAUCGCCACGUUUUAAGUUGCCCAUGCCACGAGGCUUGUGGCUUAUCGUGUUGUCUCUCUCUUUACAGACAAACUGGAAAGGUACCGUUCAGAAACACAAAGAAGAAGAGAUCGGAGAGAGAGGGAGAAGAAGCGACAAGAAGAAGCGAGAGAACUGGCAGCAGGGAGCGUUGAAGGUGGGCUGCGGGCCACUUCUGUGGAACGACUGCGGGAGAGGGAGAGAGCAUCUACAGAGCGGCGCAAGCAAGUGGAAUCUCCAACAAGCUCAGUGGUGUUUGCUGCUCCUCGCCCUCACGUAUUUUCGUCUCCGAGUAGCGUGAAAGUGCAGCGUGCACGGAGGUUGGCAGAGAGGAUUCCAGAGUCUCCCUUGUCUCCCGGUGGCAGUUUUUCGUCCCCGCUUUUUCCGAUUAGUGAGACUGGGGACUUUCUCCUUGUAGGGCCUUCCCCUACACCAAGCUUAUUGAACUCUUGGAGCUCGUCUUCGGACGAGGAGGGGGACGAGGGUGAAGACGUCCAUCCUGGCCAGGCUGGGGAGGGGCAGGCAGUUUUCGCCGCGGGCUGCCGAAUCAAUCUCUCACAUCUCAGCCCGUGGAGAAGGGCACUGUACAAACUCCACCACUACCACUGGGCCCAGGGUGCGUGUGAAGGGCGGCCCAUCUCGCUCGUCCAGGUGUCUGGGGUUAUCUCCAGGCGUGGUACGCACAGAGAUAAAGCCACCCAGACGGCGCGUGGAGGUGGUCAGCUUCCUCAGAGACCAACGCCAGUCAUCCCCGUCGACGAGCUACCGCGAGAUCCGCGAAUCCAGGAAAGUGGAGGACAAUCGACGCCCUCCGCUCGAUUCGGGGGUGCGAGAGAACGGAGAGAGGCACAGGACAGUCAGGCAGAGACUGGGGUGGAUUGUAAAGCCUACCAAGGCGUGGAAGAGGCGGCAGCGAAGGAAGAAGGCUGCCACUCUCAGGAGAGAGGAGGCUGCCACUCUCAGGAGAGAGGAGGCUGCCACUCUCAGGAAGACGAGGGGAGUUCCAUCCCCACAGUUUGUUUGCCUGGUUCCAGAGAAGAUGGUGAGGUUCACAAGGAGUGACAUUUAAAAGGAACAUGUGGUUUAUAAAUAAAAGAGUUGAAUAAACAGGGACUAGUCUAAAUCCAUCAAACAA
Long non-coding RNA from Phlebotomus papatasi, 1455 nucleotides. RefSeq lists it as uncharacterized. The transcript has 2 exons. The record is from RefSeq and is a predicted model, not a curated record. Lineage: Eukaryota; Metazoa; Arthropoda; Insecta; Diptera; Psychodidae.